GUUCGAUGGCUCAGAUUGAACGCUGGCGGGAUGCUUACAUGCAAGUCGAACGGCAGCACGGACUUCGGUCUGGUGGCGAGUGGCGAACGGGUGAGUAAUGUAUCGGAACGUGCUAGUAGCGAAAGGAUAACUACGCGAAAGCAGCAAUAAUACCGCCUACGCCCUUCGAAGCGGGGGACCUUCGGGCCUCGCACUAAUAGAGCGGCCGAUAUCGGAUUAGCUAGUUGGUGGGGUAACGGCUCACCAGGCGACGAUCCGUAGCUGGUUUGAAGGACGACCAAAUACACUGGGACAGAGAUACGGCCGAACUCCUACAGGGAGGCAGCGGUAAGAAUUUUGGACAAUGGAAACCUGAUCCAGCCAUCCGCGUGUGCGAUGAAGGCCUUCGGGUUGUAAAGCACUUUUGGCAGGAAAGAAACGGCGGGAUAAUACGAUACUGACCAUGCGCCUACAGGAAUAAGCACCGGCUAACUAAAUUGCCAGCAGCCGCGGUAAUACGUGAGGUGCAAGCGUUAAUCGGAAUUACUGGGCGUAAAGCGUGCGCAGGCGGUUCGAAGAAAGAUGUGAAAUCCAGAGCUUAACUUUGGAACUGCAUUUUUAACUACCGAGCUGAAGUGUCAGAGGUGGAAUUCCGCGUGUAGCAGUGAAAUGCGUAGAUAUGGAAGACACCGAUGGCGAGGCAACCUCCUGGGAUAACACUGACGCUCAUGCACGAAAAGCGUGGGAGCAAACAGGAUUAGAUACCCUGGUAGUCCGCGCCCUAAACGAUGUCAACUAGCUGUUGGGGCCUUCAGGCCUUGGUAGCGCAAUAACGCGUGAGAUUACGACCUUGCAAGUACAGUUAUAAAGAUUAAAACUCAAAGGAAUUGACGGGGACCCACACCAAGCGGUGGAUGAUGUGGAUUAAUUCGAUGCAACGCAACCUUACCUACCCUUGACAUGUCUGGAAUCCCGAAGAGAUUUGGGAGUGUCGCCGAGAACCGGAACACAGAACAACAUGGCUGUCGUCAGCUCGUGUCGUGAGAUGUUGGGUUAAGUCCCGCAACGAGCGCAACCCUUGUCAUUAGUUGCUGCGAAAGAGGGCACUCUAAUGGAGCUGCCGGUGAUGAAACCGGAGGAAGGUGGGGAUGACGUCAAGUCCUCGUGGCCCUUAUGGGUAGGGCUUCACAUCUUGUAAUGGUCGGGACAGAGGGUCGCCAACCCGCGAGGAGCCAAUCCCGAAGCCAGUCGUAGUCCGGAUCGCAGUCUGCAACUCGACUGCGUGAAGUCAGAAUCCGCUAGUAAUCGCGGAUCAGCAUGUCGCGGUGAAUACGUUCGGGUCUUGUCCACCGCCCGUCUCACACCAUGGGAGUGGGUUUACCAGAAGUAGUUAGCCCUAACCCGUGAGAGGCGAUUACCACGGUAGGAUUCAUGACUGGGGUGAAGUCGUAACAAGUAA
RNAcentral lists this ribosomal RNA (1438 nucleotides) under uncultured Bordetella sp. RNAcentral's name for it is "partial 16S-23S ribosomal RNA intergenic spacer". It matches the Rfam family "Bacterial small subunit ribosomal RNA". The record is from RNAcentral. Lineage: Bacteria; Pseudomonadati; Pseudomonadota; Betaproteobacteria; Burkholderiales; Alcaligenaceae.